RNAcentral lists this ribosomal RNA (87 nucleotides) under Aeribacillus composti. The record is from RNAcentral. Lineage: Bacteria; Bacillati; Bacillota; Bacilli; Caryophanales; Bacillaceae.
CGUUCCCAUCCCGAACACGGAAGUUAAGCUCUUCAGCGCCGAUGGUAGUGAGGGUUUGUCCCUUGUGAGAGUAGGACGCUGCCAGGC